Non-coding RNA from Triticum urartu, 3247 nucleotides. Lineage: Eukaryota; Viridiplantae; Streptophyta; Magnoliopsida; Poales; Poaceae. The record is from RefSeq and is a predicted model, not a curated record.
CAACCUCACGCCCCCGCGCCGUUCCUCCUGCAGAUCGAGAAGGAUGGAUAUAUCAUGAGCAAACAUCACCGCUUCCCUUCCUCCAUGCGCCGCCGCUCCAUCCUUCCCCUCCUCCUCGCGCCGCCCCUCUUUCUACCGUCACCACCCCCCAUCGGCGCCCUCCGCAGCCUAGCUGAGCCCCUUCGCCCGUGGACGUGUUCCGGCGUCAUCCCGCUACAGGUUGUCGUACCUCUGGAGGUGCGGAGUGGUGGUGGAGGCGAGAGGAGAGGCGCAGGAUCUUGGCCUUGAUGUCACCGAUUUCGACGUGGGCGGUGUCUUGCUCGCGUCCGGGUGUCGGUGGUUCGUGCCGUCACCGUACCACCAACAAGGAUGACACCUGAUGGCCUCUCCCUGAGAACCGUCUUUGCUUCGCCGAUGUAUCCCACCUGCGCCCAAUGUUGAGGUCUUGAGGGUGUGAUUCCUAGUGAGAAGGACCGCCGUCAGGCCACAAUGGACUUCACACCUCCCAUUUUCUACUGUUCUCGCAUGCACGUACUGUUACCUAGAGCAGAAAGCAUAUAGAGAUUAUAUUAGUAUAGAUGUAUAGAAGUCAUGAUGAUGGACUAAGAUAAUUCUGUUGCACAAUACUAUGCACUGAGAUUCAGUCAUGGCAUUUCUUGUCAGUAUCGCAUGAACAUGAUAGAGACUGAUCAAAUAAAUGGCACUUGAUUUCAUCUACUUAUAUUCUUCAGGGCAUGUAAGCAAGCGGUGCAUGAAAGCUGAUACUUGCAAUCUGUUUGCGGAAUCUGGCAGUGUUUCAGUCCAAGAAUGAGAAUCAUGUGAUUGCUGAUCGACUAUGCAGCUUGUUUAGGCAUCAGCGUCUCUACUGCUAUCUGGGAUUGGAGGAAAGGCAGCUCGAAAAACUAAAGCACUAAUGAAGCAACAAGUGGAAGUCCAAUUCAGAAAGAAGUAGUUUGUUCUAUAUACUAGAUUGGACAAUGUUUUUCCGCUGGAAGUCUAUUGCUGAAUCUUAAAUCAAGAGGAAGCUAUCUAACUUUCUUCUUAAGGAGCCGGGAAGUUUCGCCAAGCCACUACAGUGGGCAAGAGAUCAGCUAAUUCAUUUGAGCCGGGGAGGCGACGGCGGCGGGGAGCAGCGGCACAUCGGCGGACAGCAACACAUGUGUAGCACACAGCGGCAGCGGCUGCACGGCCACGACGGACAAGCAACAACGCGAAGCAGGGGCAGGUGGUGGUAAGAAUAAGUAUCACUUGUCAUGUUUAACUCAUGGCCAACAAAGAGUAAGUAUCACUUGAAACUCACUACAUGAAGAAUACUGCUGUGACGAUUAUCUACAUAUAUGUUCCACUUGGUUGCUCAGGUAGUAUUAAUUUCUAAUUUCUUAUCACUUCCUUUUUCUUGCAGUCAAGUUUUGAAACUGGGCUUUGAUGAGAAGUUCAUUCGUAUAUGGGAAUUCUAUCUUGUAUACUCUGCCUCUGGUUUGAAGUCAUGAGUAGCUAGAGAUUACCUGGUACGGAUGCAUAUAUGUGUGCUCUUUGUAUAGGUUUACCUGCAUUAUUCCUAUUUCCUAAACAAAUGUAAGUCAUAUACUCCCUCUGCCCUCUGGUCUUCAAAAAACAUCUUUCUGGAAACUGUUUGGUGGUUUCCAAUGCAGACUAUAAAAUUUAAGUUGAUGUUGCUUUCUACAAUUAUGUUAAUCUCAGCCAUAAGAUUCUGAGAUCAGUCGACAACAGAUCUUUGAGUAAAAAGUAGUAAAUUAGAACCUUUGGUGAACUUGCAGAAAACAAGCUUUCAUCGUUUGAGAUUGUAAAUGACCUGAGACAAACCUGGGUCCUUUACAUUCUUAUUUGAUAACUUUGAAUCUUUACGUCUUCUGUAUAUAUAUUUCAGCACAUUUUGUAUCAACUGAUAACUUUGAAUCUUUGCGUCUUUCAUCAGAUCAUGCUUACUGUUGGAUUUGCACAUGAAUAACUAAAAGCGCCAUGACAUUACGUAUUUCCUUCAUUUUAGCCAUUAAACUCAUCUAUCGAGUGUUAAUUUAGUAUGUUUUCUUGUCCUGAGUGUAUAUUCAUCUUAGUUAGAAAGGUCUUUGAGUGGCUUUGGUCAUCCUAAAUUUUGUGUGGAUUCUUUUUCCAAUCCUGUUUAGCUUUGCCUAACAAUAAUUAUUAUAGCCCUUGAUGUGCACAUGCCCAAUUUCCCCAUAUUGUAUAGUUUCCCAUUCUAUAAUGGCAACCUUUCUGCACUGCUAAGAUGUAAGCACGACUACAUGUUUAACUCAUGUUUAAUAUUGUCAGAACUAAGCAUAUGGUAGAGAAAGGGUUGCUUGCAUGCCAUCCAUGUCAUCGAGAAAUUGUAGAAUUCCCUCUCCCCAUUUCCUUACCAUGAAUAUAACGCUUUAUCGACCUGUUUUUAGCUUUUAGAUGUUCUGCAACUAUAUACACAAUAGAUACUGGCUGUCUGAACUGUAAUUCCACUCCAUGAGAAGCUGAGAUAAAGUAAGAACGGGGCAAAGAAAUUCCGACUCUUUCUGCUCGCAGGCGGGGCCUGCUAUGACUCCCAAUGGGUGGUAUUACUGCAACUGUCGAUCCUUCAAAUUUUGACGAUAACAAGUAGCCUGAAUCCAAGAAGAAAACUAAUUCAAUUCUCCCAAGACUGCUAAUUUUUGGGUUUCUUUGUUCCAACUUUGCAUUGACACCACUUGGACAAUGUUUGUGUUCCUUUGCUUUUCAUCAUGAAAACAAACAUUCUGAAAUCUUCAUAGGAUAUUUGAUUCCAUUUUUACUAUACAAUAGAGUAAAUAGGCUACGUCCUUACAUUCUCCGCGGAGAAGUUAUCCAGCCAGUCGGUUGCCAUUGAUUUGUGACAUUUUUUUAUACAGUUGUGAUUCCCGUGGUCUGCUUGUUAUCGUCAAAAGAUAAUUGAUGGGUUUUUACUUCUCCUUUUGUUUAUAGAGAAUGGGUCAUCCUAGAGUAUGAAUUUGACAUGGUUUGAUUGAGACGUGCGUUGCACGUGCACGUUUACUAGUAAGAAUAUAAAGAAGAGAGAAAAAAGUCUAGGGCGUCGCUGCUGUUGGCCUUCGACAUGCUGGGCUGCUGCUGCGCUGUGUCACGUGCAUGAGCGGCCGAAAGGAACUGGGCCACCGGGGUAGCUGGGUAGGAUUAGAGUAGAAUAGGUUUAUGAUUUUCUAUUUAUUUAUUUUAGGUACAGAAAGGAUGUUAGCUCCAAAGAUGAUCAAAAUCAUUUUAUAAA